UUUAAAUCAAAACCACUUUGACCCCCUAAAAACAGGAUCGCUAAUAGGUUACAGCACUGAAAUCAGAAACCAAAAACUAUCAAAUCUUAUUACAACUUAAACUACAUUAUCAGUUAAACCUCGAUAAGAAGAGUAACUGAUAACCAAUAAAUAAAUCUAUUAUACAAUAAACUGAAAUAGAACAAUUCUAACCAAUACUAUUCUUGCAGACAUCUCAUUGGCAAUCUCGCCUAGCAUUACUUCUACGCGCAGCUUGACAAAAGAAUCAUCUUAAUACCUAGCUGAAAAGGUUAAAAGGAAUAGCAAGGGUGAGCAAUAAUGCUCAGCAAGUAUAUAAAAGAACGAUUCUAAUAAAUAAAAGGAGAAUGAAAUAUAUCCGAUUUUGUAUGUAACUUGCCAGGUAUUUUCAAUAAUACAGAACAACAGUCAUAUUUUCAAAGUAUGGCAAUCACAAGAGAAUAUAAUCAUUUAAAACUAUUCUGUGAAAAAUCAUUCGCUUACGGUGCGUUGUGCUGACACGGUGAUCAGCCGAGCAUCAAGCACCGGGCACAGGGCGCUACCUGUCCCAAAAACAAAGGGGCCCAAGGCACACAUUGGCCUUAAAUUAUAGUAACAUGUAACUCACGACCGGCACCACGGUCCAGCAAAUGAAUUCCGAUUGGUUAACAGUUUUAUAAAACCAAAAAGGUAUCCAACCUCUUUAAAUCCAAAACCUGCAUAGUAACCCUCUGUAUACCACAAUUUACUGUUAACCAAGUUUGAAAUCAUAUAUAGUUGGCUAUGCUCAACAUUCUUAAAAGAUAUAAUAUCAAAGAGAAUAUUGAACAAAAUAACCAAUUGCCACUAGGACAAAAAUAAGCCAUGGAAUAUGUUUACCAAUAAAGAACUCCAAAAAGUUUCAAAAUCAUUCUUGAGUAAAUAAAAGAAACUAAGAACUUUCUUUUAAAUAUAGAAGUUGAAUAAGAAUACUUGCCUUAACUCUGGUGUCUAACUCAUAUUUCUAAUAGUACUAUCUACUGAACUGUUCCCUUCUGCUUAGUUUCUGACAGACUUUAAUAAAAUAUCCAUAGCACAGCUUCACUUCAUUGGUUUAUGCCAGCCUCGCUCCACGAUACUAUUCACUAUUUCUGAACAUCCCAGUCGACUCUGUACGGCAGUAAGACAAUACUUCAAUCGUCGGAUCAAACGAAACUAAUUACUAAAUGCUAUUAGAAUCUGCAACUAACUACCCUUCGCAUAUCCAUAUAUAGUAAACAAAAAAAUAUAUAUAGACAUCCACAUAAUAAUAUAUAUACACUGGAUCAGUCAGACAAAUAACCACAUAAUCAAGAAACAUACAUAUUCCAUCCAACUAUAAUAUAAUGCUAUUAACUGUCAAAUAUCUAUUUAUAGACAGAAUAAACUUAAUUUCUAAAGAAAAUUUCGGCAUGAAGUAUUCGUAAAUAGGACUAUCUCCCUGUUUUCAAAUCAAUCAAAUCAAGCUCUUUACACUAAAUAAAAUACUAAUAUAAAGAAAAUCUGCCUCGACAUGCAGUAAAUCACAUAGGAAAAGUACCCGCCCCGACAUGCAGCACCUACACACAUAAUGAUAAAUAACCCGCCCAGACAUACGGCACCUAAACACAUAAUGAUUGAAAGAAACUAACAGUUUAUCUUUAAAACGGAAAGUAAUUCAAUAUUAAUACAUUAUACUAUCAAGAAUAACACUCUAACAUUUAACACGUAGCACUUAGCAGGUAUCACAUAUUUCCAUACAUUUACUUACCACUUACCAUAAUACUCAAUUUAGAUACUUAAACUUAUCAUAUAAUUGAAUUCAAAUAUCUUAUUGGAAAAUAUCUCAAAUACUAGGUUACAUAAUCACGUAGCCCACGUAGGCACUUAGCACGUAGCAUCUAUUUCCCUAACAAUGCUUAUUAUCACUUAGCAACCAUAUCAACAUAUUUCAACUAGAACACUUAUUAGGAAUUUUAUUCUAGAUGCAAGUCCCUAAAACAGAGCAUACUAUUCAAUUCAAUUUGCAAGUUGAAUUAAAUAAGCAUAGCAUUAUAACUAUUUAAGAUAUCACAUAUUUAUAUUAUUAAUAUUAUUAUUUACUAUUAUUACUACUAGUGAAAGUAAUAAUAAUAUUAAAGAAUAAUACUAAUAUAUAUUGAUAUUCGACAUCCUAAAAUCAAACACAGUUUCCCACAUUAACAUCAAUAAUACUGCUAUGUAUUACUGCUAUUACUACCAAAUCACAUAAAUAUUAUUUAUAGAUUUCAUAAAAAAUAUCACGAAUCAGUAACUACAUAAAUUCGAUUAAUAGCCAGAUAAUUAUAGGAUACGCUCCCGUAUAAUUAAAAAUCUAAAUUUUUAUUUGAAAAUCGGGCCGCACCUCCUUUAUUUAUCGGACUACCAGUCGAUAUCAUAUAUCGACACCAACAACCACAAUCAAGCCUGUAAUCAAUCCAAAUAACUUACUUUAUAACUACUAUCCGAAAUCGAUACUCAAUUAUAGCUACUAAUUAAACCCGAUAAUCAAUCAAAUAAACCAACAACCGAAAUAAUAAUUAAAAGCGUAUCAGGAAAUCCAUAUCAAGACUCGAGCCACCCGAAUAAAUUUUAUAGCUACACAUAAUCAGCACCCGGCCACUCCGGCCCCACACACACACUAAAACACAUGGGAAACACACACGAAACCCACACACACACAUCCCAGUACUCGAUUAUGCACGCACACACCCCUGAUACACUCACCCCAGCCCUGAUUACACACACUCGCGCAAUACAGAACACACACUCACACACCUGUUAUACACACACAAGCACAUAGACAUACACAAAACACACACACACCCAUCGCACUUAUACACACACACCAGUACACGCACGAAUUACACACACAAUAUAAUCACAGCCGCAAGAAAGGACAGAAAACGACGCAGGAAAAGGAAAAGGAAGGACAGGGGAGAGAGAUGGAGAGAAACCGAAGGGAGAGAGAGGCUG
Molecule: long non-coding RNA, 2988 nt
Filed under: Daucus carota (carrot)
Lineage: Eukaryota; Viridiplantae; Streptophyta; Magnoliopsida; Apiales; Apiaceae
Description: long non-coding RNA (DCAR_LNC007729)
Source: RNAcentral